Molecule: ribosomal RNA, 490 nt
Filed under: uncultured bacterium
Lineage: Bacteria
Description: partial 16S ribosomal RNA
Rfam family: Bacterial small subunit ribosomal RNA
Source: RNAcentral
AUUGAACGCUGGCGGCAGGCCUAACACAUGCAAGUCGAACGGUAACAGGAAGACGCUUGCUUCUUUGCUGACGAGUGGCGGACGGGUGAGGAAUGUCUGGGAAACUGCCUGAUGGAGGGGGAUAACUACUGGAAACGGUAGCUAAUACCGCAUAACGUCGCAAGACCAAAGAGGGGGACCUUCGGGCCUCUUGCCAUCGGAUGUGCCCAGAUGGGAUUAGCUAGUAGGUGGGGUAACGGCUCACCUAGGCGACGAUCCCUAGCUGGUCUGAGAGGAUGACCAGCCACACUGGAACUGAGACACGGUCCAGACUCCUACGGGAGGCAGCAGUGGGGAAUAUUGCACAAUGGGCGCAAGCCUGAUGCAGCCAUGCCGCGUGUAUGAAGAAGGCCUUCGGGUUGUAAAGUACUUUCAGCGGGGAGGAAGGGAGUAAAGUUAAUACCUUUACUCAUUGACGUUACCCGCAGAAGAAGCACCGGCUAACUCCGUG